This 254-nucleotide ribosomal RNA is filed under the name uncultured bacterium. Its description in RNAcentral is "partial 16S ribosomal RNA". It matches the Rfam family "Bacterial small subunit ribosomal RNA", at positions 524 to 776 of the family's 1533-position model. The record is from RNAcentral.
UACGGGGGGAGCAAGCGUUGUUCGGAUUUACUGGGCGUAAAGGGCGCGUAGGCGGCCAGCGCAAGUCAGUUGUGAAAUCUCCGGGCUUAACUCGGAACGGUCAACUGACACUGCGCGGCUAGAGUGCAGAAGGGGCAACUGGAAUUCUCGGUGUAGCGGUGAAAUGCGUAGAUAUCGAGAGGAACACCUGCGGCGAAAGCGGGUUGCUGGGCUGACACUGACGCUGAUGCGCGAAAGCCAGGGGAGCAAACGGG